Molecule: ribosomal RNA, 524 nt
Filed under: Bifidobacterium bifidum
Lineage: Bacteria; Bacillati; Actinomycetota; Actinomycetes; Bifidobacteriales; Bifidobacteriaceae
Description: bacterial SSU rRNA
Rfam family: Bacterial small subunit ribosomal RNA
Source: RNAcentral
AAUGCCGGAUGUUCCACAUGAUCGCAUGUGAUUGUGGGAAAGAUUUUAUCGGCGUGGGAUGGGGUCGCGUCCUAUCAGCUUGUUGGUGAGGUAACGGCUCACCAAGGCUUCGACGGGUAGCCGGCCUGAGAGGGCGACCGGCCACAUUGGGACUGAGAUACGGCCCAGACUCCUACGGGAGGCAGCAGUGGGGAAUAUUGCACAAUGGGCGCAAGCCUGAUGCAGCGACGCCGCGUGAGGGAUGGAGGCCUUCGGGUUGUAAACCUCUUUUGUUUGGGAGCAAGCCUUCGGGUGAGUGUACCUUUCGAAUAAGCGCCGGCUAACUACGUGCCAGCAGCCGCGGUAAUACGUAGGGCGCAAGCGUUAUCCGGAUUUAUUGGGCGUAAAGGGCUCGUAGGCGGCUCGUCGCGUCCGGUGUGAAAGUCCAUCGCUUAACGGUGGAUCUGCGCCGGGUACGGGCGGGCUGGAGUGCGGUAGGGGAGACUGGAAUUCCCGGUGUAACGGUGGAAUGUGUAGAUAUCGGA